Long non-coding RNA from Polypterus senegalus (gray bichir), 844 nucleotides. RefSeq lists it as uncharacterized. NCBI's taxonomy places the organism in Eukaryota, Metazoa, Chordata, Cladistia, Polypteriformes, Polypteridae. The record is from RefSeq and is a predicted model, not a curated record. The transcript is spliced from 3 exons.
UGGAAGACAUCCCUCAAGAUAACCUUACAGAACUGUCUUGGCUUCUCCCUGCAAUUAAGCGACAUUUCGGUCGAACCAAAUCAGUCCUGGGGCUACAACAGUGGUUGGACUCACGGACCAGACGGGGGGAGAACGCCUUGGUACUUUUGUGGCGGAGAUUCAGGGACUGCACACUCGGACUCCACCACCUGCUGAUGUUUAAUUUCCAGUGGUUCUCCUUGCACCACAAGAUGAAGUACUCUAUGAGCUACAAGCUCCCACCAGUAAAAGAGACUACUAAACAGGCACUGAGUGGUGUGAUGAUGCGGGAUCUGCUCCAUGCUCUCAUCUGGCUUCUGGGAGCUCUUGAACUCGACACCAAUGGUAAUGUAAACGGAUGAGCUGGACGGUGAAGACAUCAACAAAGAAGCAAGGUGGAAGACCAAACAUGACAAAACUUGUCCAACUCAUCCCUAAAGACGUCACUUCCGGUUCCGGCACCUAAAGAAACGUCACUUCCUAUUUUGACGUCAGAAGGAGGUCGUUUCUGGCUCCCAUACUUCACUUCUGGUCUUGGCAUUUAAAACCACCAUCUUAACAACUAUUCAUCAGUUCUAGUUUGGACUCCAUCAAAGACACUACUGUCUUACUCUCAAAACCCAUUGCUGCCAGGGAUAAUAUAUGGGUGGCUAUACCAAACCUUUGUAAGUGUGUCAAGUCUGAUCAUUUCACAAACCCCACUGCAUUAGUUCAACUAAGCUAAAAAUGUUUUGCUGCUGAUUUUCAUUUGUACUCCGCGUGUGAUGCUUCACAUUGCAGAGUACAAUAAUAGUCUAUAUAAUAAUAAUAAUAACAUCUAUAUGCU